UAUCAGUGACGCAAAGUUUCCUGAUGCGCAGUCUGGUUCUGAAAAAGGAAUUAAUCACGCACUUGUUGGCAACGCCGGCAUGAACAUCAUUUACGAAGCAG
Non-coding RNA from Acidimicrobiia bacterium BACL6 MAG-120910-bin40, 101 nucleotides. Lineage: Bacteria; Bacillati; Actinomycetota; Acidimicrobiia. The record is from Rfam.